GGCAACUAUCUAUGAAAAAACAAGUCUUCACAAAGUCGUAUGACCAUGUAUGAGGACUAAGAUAUGUUCAGUGCCGAAAGAACAAAAAAAUUGGUGACUUGAUGACAGAGGAGCCGCGACCUAUGUCCUCGAUAAAUGACGACCGUAACUAUAACGGUCAUAAGGUAACAAAAUUCCUUGUCAGGUAAAUUUUGACCCACAACAAAAGGUGUAAUGAUC
This 219-nucleotide ribosomal RNA is filed under the name Olea europaea subsp. europaea. Its description in RNAcentral is "LSU_rRNA_bacteria". It matches the Rfam family "Bacterial large subunit ribosomal RNA", at positions 1795 to 2009 of the family's 2925-position model. Lineage: Eukaryota; Viridiplantae; Streptophyta; Magnoliopsida; Lamiales; Oleaceae. The record is from RNAcentral.